This 490-nucleotide ribosomal RNA is filed under the name uncultured bacterium. RNAcentral's name for it is "partial 16S ribosomal RNA". It matches the Rfam family "Bacterial small subunit ribosomal RNA", at positions 28 to 507 of the family's 1533-position model. The record is from RNAcentral.
GAUGAACGCUAGCGAUAGGCUUAACACAUGCAAGUCGAGGGGCAGCAUGGUCUUAGCUUGCUAAGGCUGAUGGCGACCGGCGCACGGGUGCGUAACGCGUAUGCAACUUGCCUCACAGAGGGGGAUAACCCGUCGAAAGACGGACUAAUACCGCGUACACUCUAUGUUGGGCAUCCAAUGUAGAGGAAAUGAAAUUCGCUGUGAGAUAGGCAUGCGUCCCAUUAGCUAGUUGGUGAGGUAACGGCUCACCAAGGCGACGAUGGGUAGGGGAACUGAGAGGUUGAACCCCCACACUGGUACUGAGACACGGACCAGACUCCUACGGGAGGCAGCAGUGAGGAAUAUUGGUCAAUGGGCGAGAGCCUGAACCAGCCAAGUCGCGUGAAGGAUGACUGUCUUAUGGAUUGUAAACUUCUUUUAUACGGGAAUAACAAGAGUCACGUGUGGCCCCCUGCAUGUACCGUAUGAAUAAGCAUCGGCUAACUCCGUG